Molecule: non-coding RNA, 1115 nt
Organism: Zootermopsis nevadensis
Lineage: Eukaryota; Metazoa; Arthropoda; Insecta; Blattodea; Termopsidae
Source: RefSeq, a predicted model, not a curated record
ACGUCAUGAAACAGUUUUGGAAAUUCGUGUCAGAGAAUUAAUGAAAAGUGCAUUGCGUCGUAGAAAGUGCCGCAUUUCAUAGGUUCAUCUUUUACAGUGUGGUGUUUCAGUGUUUGGUAAAAGUACGCUCUCUGCUUGGGCCUUGUUAGAUCAGCAGUUAUUACUGCUAGCAAACCGUUUUUUUUGCGGUCUGUAACUGCAAGUCAGUUCACGCCAGCAUUCCAUCUUGACGUUCCAAAAGCAUCUUGUUCAAAGCACUACUAAAUAGCUCUUCGGUGUCGCAAAUUGUCACUUCGUCGCACACUCUAUCAUAACCUGGGAAGGUUGAGAGAAUCUCAACUUUCCCCUUAGUCUGUGACUACAAGAAGUCACCAUUUCUUUUAGAAAACACGGUGAAUUGAGUUCCCGUACAAGAUGCGACCCGCUACUAGGAUCACUGCUUCCCUCUCAUUACGUGAAAUCAAGGGAGAAAAUGUUGAAGAGAAAGGACGGUCUCAUCUGGGCAGUUGCCCAGGUGUCCCAAAGAGGAAACAAUUCUGUGGGAGUACUGAAUUCAUCCUGCAAGGAGGUGAAAUCGACAAACCACUUUCAUGCAGUACCAAACGGCAUGAGCUACUUGGAACAAGAAGAACGUACGUAAACUUUUCUUUUCCCCCAUUGUGCACUUUAGAAAAAUUCAAAUUCUCUCUUGCUUCCUAAGUCUUCAUUUAACAGUCAUGAUAAUAUUUCAUGUCGCCCUCUGUGGACUAGUGGUUAGCGUGCUCGCCACUGGACCCAAGGUUCGCGGGUUGAAACCUGGCUGAGGGCGAGGGAUUUUUCAGGGUGAUAAAAAUCCAUAGCACAACUUCCUUCGGAGGGGAAGUAAAGCCGGCGGUCCCAUGUGGUAGGUUUACGGCGCGUUCAAGAACCUUACGAGCUUGAACGUGAUGUUUUGUGAGAAAAAUCAGUGGCGAUUUCUCACCCUAGUCUCUCCCGAUUCACUACUAGAUGGCUCUAGCGGACAAAAUCGGGAUCGAGUAGAAAUUGUGCAGAGUCAGUGGACUGGUCACUCACUACUCACAAAUGCACACUUCGAAAGACCAGGAAAUCUCCCACAUGGGAAGAGGUCAAGCCCC